This 336-nucleotide ribosomal RNA is filed under the name uncultured bacterium. RNAcentral's name for it is "bacterial SSU rRNA". It matches the Rfam family "Bacterial small subunit ribosomal RNA", at positions 72 to 422 of the family's 1533-position model. The record is from RNAcentral.
AAGGGGAGCAAUCCCUGAGUAAAGUGGCGACCGGGUGAGUAACACGUGACUAACCUACCCUCGAGUGUGGAAUAACAUCGGGAAACCGAUGCUAAUACCGCAUAACAUCGCAAGAUCAAAGGAGCAAUCCGCUUGAGGAGGGGGUCGCGGCUGAUUAGCUAGUUGGCGGGGUAACGGCCCACCAAGGCGAAGAUCGGUAGCCGGCCUGAGAGGGCGCGCGGCCACACUGGAACUGAAACACGGUCCAGACUCCUACGGGAGGCAGCAGUGGGGAAUUUUGCGCAAUGGGGGAAACCCUGACGCAGCAACGCCGCGUGGAGGAUGAAGCCCCUUGGG